GGAUAGAGGCCUACCAUGGUCGUAACGGGUAACGGAGAAUUAGGGUUCGAUUCCGGAGAGGGAGCCUGAGAAAUGGCUACCACUNNNAAGGAAGGCAGCAGGCGCGCAAAUUACCCAAUCCCGACACGGGGAGGUAGUGACAAUAAAUAACAAUACAGGCGCUCGAUAAGAGUCUUGUAAUUGGAAUGAGUACAAUUUAAACCCCUUAACGAGUAACAAUUGGAGGGCAAGUCUGGUGCCAGCAGCCGCGGUAAUUCCAGCUCCAAUAGCGUAUAUUAAAGUUGUUGCAGUUAAAAAGCUCGUAGUUGAAUUUCGGGGUUAGUAGGUUGGUCAUGCCUCUGGUAUGUACUGGUCUCACUGAUUCCUCCUUCCUUAUGAACCGUAAUGCCAUUAAUUUGGUGUUGCGGGGAAUUUGGACUGUUACUUUGAAAAAAUUAGAGUGUUUAAAGCAAGCUAACGCUUGAAUACAUUAGCAUGGAAUAAUGGAAUAGGACGUUCGAUCUUAUUUUGUUGGUUUCUAGGAUUGACGUAAUGAUUAAUAGGGAUAGUUGGGGGCAUUAGUAUUCAAUUGUCAGAGGUGAAAUUCUUGGAUUUAUUGAAGACUAACUACUGCGAAAGCAUUUGCCAAGGAUGUUUUCAUUAAUCAAGAACGAAAGUUAGGGGAUCGAAGACGAUCAGAUACCGUCGUAGUCUUAACCAUAAACUAUGCCGACUAGG
This 717-nucleotide ribosomal RNA is filed under the name uncultured fungus. RNAcentral's name for it is "SSU rRNA". It matches the Rfam family "Eukaryotic small subunit ribosomal RNA", at positions 331 to 1050 of the family's 1831-position model. The record is from RNAcentral. Lineage: Eukaryota; Fungi.